GAUGAAGAACGUAGCGAAAUGCGAUACUUGGUGUGAAUUGCAGAAUCCCGUGAACCAUCGAGUCUUUGAACGCAAGUUGCGCCCGAAGCCAUUAGGCCGAGGGCACGCCUGCCUGGGCGUCACACGUCGUUGCCCCCCCAUCUACUCCUUCGGGAUUGCGGGGGGCGGAUGAUGGCCUCCCGUGCGCCUCGCCGCGCGGUUGGCAUAAAUGCCAAGUCCUCGGCGACGCACGCCACGACAAUCGGUGGUUGCGAAACCUCGGUUGCCCGUCGUGUGCGGUCGUCGCGCAUCGAGGGCUCGAAAAACUUGCCGGGUUCCGGCUCGGCUUUCAACGCGACCCCAGGUCAGGCGGGGUUACCCGCUGAAUUUAAGCAUAUCAAUAAGCGGAGGA
This 391-nucleotide unclassified non-coding RNA is filed under the name soil metagenome. Its description in RNAcentral is "partial contains 5.8S ribosomal RNA, internal transcribed spacer 2, and large subunit ribosomal RNA". The stretch from base 1 to 122 matches the Rfam family "5.8S ribosomal RNA", at positions 35 to 154 of the family's 154-position model. The record is from RNAcentral.